RNAcentral lists this microRNA (22 nucleotides) under Ictalurus punctatus (channel catfish). RNAcentral describes it as "ipu-miR-7563a". The record is from miRBase by way of RNAcentral. Lineage: Eukaryota; Metazoa; Chordata; Actinopteri; Siluriformes; Ictaluridae.
AACCGCGUACUUGCCUACUAUA